AACUCACAAGCUGCAAGAUCGUGACCUGAGCCAAAGUCGGAUGGUUAACCGACUGAGCCAUCCAGGCGCCCCUAAAUAGUAAUUUCUUAAUCUUUUUAUAAUUAUACCCAUGUAUUAUCAAACCACUGCCUUCACAAAUCUUGCGUAACUCUCCUUGGCAAUUCUGAUUCCUGGCCCCCCCCCCCCCCCGCCCCAGUGAAGAGUUGGUAUUCUGGAUGAACCCAAAAAUGCUUUGGUCACUUCUCCAUUUUUGUCUCUUCAGGAGUAAGUGGAGUUGUCAGGUUGGCAGAUAAACCUGUUCCAGUGUGUGAAUGGCUGGUUUUAAAGUAGUAAAAUUGUACUUUUUAGUACCAUAAUGUCUAUAAAAAGAAUUGGGUGAUGGAAGUUGGUACUAUCAGAGACAGCACCUGUGAACAAAGUCACGUGUAUGUGUGUAUAGGGUGUCUGUGUAAAUAUCUGUAUCUUAAUACGUUUGUUUCCCUCCAGCCUAAGCUCCUACUUGAUGGACUGGUUUUGCUCCCCCCCCUCCCCCGCUCUCUCCCUUCUCUGCCUGCCAGGAGCCUCUGCCCUGCUCCCUGCAUUCCAGGUUUGCUGAACUGCUGUGCUCCCCCUGACUGCCACGCUGUUUCGUCCAUCUUCCCAUCUCGUAAUUUAUCGUGUGCCUGAUGCCCUUUCGGACGCUCCCUCGUUCCUCCGUCUGCACUGUGUCUUUGGAGACCUACCUCAGAUACCGUGUCUUGGUAGCCUUUCCUGACCGUGGAGAAGACGUGGAUCCCUGUUGCGUGGGCGCGCUGUGCUCCAGAACUUGGCACUUGCACAACCGGUUACUGAUAGCAGUGCUGUGCUGAUUUCACGUUGUGUCUCUUUACCUCUUCUGAAGUACAGGGUGGACUUUGUCAUUUGUACUUCCAGCUUCUCUUCAUACAGGGCUCGGAGCUGACAGACGCAAUAAAUACUUGCUGCCUGACCAGCUUAAUGAAUGAAUAAAUGAAGGUACUGUUUUCUGAAGUUUCUGUCUUGUUCAGUACAGGACAGAGCAGCAAGGCAGGCACCUAGAGAGAACGAAGAGGGUGUUGAUGUUGUCGAGACAGUGCUCCGGGACUGUAGACACGCAGCGAAGUUGUGACUUGGUGGGUGGUGUGCAGGCGAGAGGAACAGAGGAGUCACAUAAUGAAGAGCCUGUUGGAGUCACCCUGGUUAUCUUGUGCUUGAAACGUGCUCAGAACGUGCUUGAAACGUGCCAGAAACGUGUGGGCAGGUCAUGCCUGACAACGACAACUGGGGAGACUCCUCAUCUGUUAGGUGCUGUUCGGGAGGCCUGCAUCUUAACACGUGUGUGAGGUUCAUGGCCAGAACACAGCACGGUGCAAAGUGUCACUCGUCUUCCUACUUGUUCACCGUAAACGGUGGCCGAACACGCCAGCCCAAGACGGCCACCCCACUUUGGCAUAAGAUGAUUUGAGCAAAAGGCACUUGUAAAACAGCAGGUACAAGAAGAACGUCCGUAUCUCCCCCUUUCUUCCUGAGAGCAGGACACAGACCAGGGUGAAGUUGCUGUCCCUGUACCAGGGGGAAGGAAGUGGUCUUGCCAAGGGGACAGGAGCCCAGGACGGGAGAAUUCUUGUUGAAAUAACUCCUACCCAGGUAUUUUGGAUACUUUCCCACUGUCCCUUUCUGUUCACACUAGCGUGAAACCUCUCGUUUUUGCCAAUCCUGGGUCCUCUCCUUAUGAGGGCUCCCUCCCAUGUGAUGAAAAACUUAUGUAAAAUAAACUUGUGUGUCUUUCUCCUGCUAAGUCGCAGGCCCAGGCCAGAGACCCCAAGAGGGUUGAGAGAAUGGCAUUCCUCCCUCCACCAGACGGAGUGCCUCCAGCGCAGGACCCUGUCUGUCUUGCUUCCCUCCCACUGACUCCUCAGUCCCAGAGCCCCUCGGGCAGGAAGUGAGGACUGUCUGCCGAGUAAAUGAUCUGUGUCCACAGCACCCACCCAUCUCCUUCCCGCCUCAGCCCAUUCACACUCAGACCAGCAUCAGCAUAAGGGAGGACAGUGGUUUGCUUACAUGCAUCCUUUAGGAAGACACGUGCCCUUACAGGGCUUGAGCAGCUGACAAAACAAGGACUUCUCUGUGUAUACACUGGCACAUACUAAUGCUCCAUGUUCCCAGUGGAGCUCCAGGAGCUAAAAAUAACCACGCGUGUUCUGUUUUAUACAGAAAAGAGGAAAUGUGCAGCUUAGUUUGUAACAUUUACUAUUUUUGAAAACCUGAUUUUUUUCCACAUGUAUUUUUAAAAUGUCUUUGGUGAUGUCCUUGCAGGAAAAUGCACAAUGCAGAUUUCACCAAAGGUCCCUCCAUUCUGUAAUCCACAUCUUCAGGAAACAAUUGCUGGAGACCAGAUACACUUGACCAUGAGAUGGGUUUUCGGGAAGCCGCCCAGAUGCAGAUCACCAGGGGUCAUAGGAGGGCCAAAGGGCCCCGGGACCUCGGAAGCCAGGUCUCUGCCUAGUCUGCCCCCUGUGCAAGGAGGGGCACACGAUCCCAUGACCACAGGCUGACAGUGGGAGCGCGGGCCUCUGUCAUCCUGAGAGAUGAGCGAGAGGUGACCGUCACGCAGUGUCGCUCUGACCGCCACUGAGCGUGGUCUUUCGUGAAAAGAUGGGAGGGAGUGUGUGCUACAGGUCUUCAUCUCGUACUGCGUAUUUGCUCCUUAAGUGAGUGUGGGGAGGGUCUUGGUUUCCAAGGCUCCCCUGUAAGAGACGGCAGGCUAUGAUGGUCAUGAGCUGGUGGUGUUCGGUGUUGUUCGCUGCCCUUCCUUCUCACAGGGACGCUGGAAGGUUAAAAAAUAUGUAAAGAACAAAUGAAGUAAAAAGGAAGAGACACAAGUUGCCUACAGCACAGGAAGUUGGGAACGUGGGAGCCGUGUUUAUGAAGAAUGUUCGACAACAGUGGAAUCUGUCCACAGCAUGCUGUUCAUGGAGGUAAGUUUACAGACUAGUGUAGCCAAAGUUUUCCCAGUCAAACAAGUACGCAGAGAUGUGAAGGUCGGGGAGGUUCGGGACAGCAGGUGGACUUGGUAUGGGAUUCGGCACGCGCAGAGACAGGAGGAUGGAGGAGGGGGAGGGGCUAGGUCACCUUUAGGAAGCAGGGCGACGGGGGACCCUCCCAGGCUUACUUACGGCUGGGCCUUCCCUUGGGAAACCAGCCCCAGGAUCAGCUCAAACUCAGAGUCUGGUGGCGGUUGGACUCUCACAAGCCCCCCAAGCUGGGCACACUCCCAGGGCCGAGCACGAAAGGUAGUGAGCCUUCCAAGGACGUGGCUCCCAUGUCUGCCAUGGCCUCUGGGCUGCAGCUGGGGCUGUCAGGGAGUGUUGCGUUCCCCAGGCUGGACCACGUGCUCCCCACCCUCCAUGCUGCUCCUUCCGCAUACGGCCACCCUCUGGAAGGACAGCACUCUCCCCCAGACUCCCACCGUGACUCUCCUGUCCUGAGUGGACCCCAUCCCUCUGUGGAAGGGAGCAGCCUCAGUGCAGGCCCAGGCUCUGGGAGGAAGCUCCAGGCACAGCUGCCAACUGUGAACAUUCAGGAGCAGCCAGCCGCCAACGCAGGGCCAUGGUGACAGGUGCUGUGGACAGGUCUCUGUCACUGGGCGUGUCCACCCUGAUUAGCGUCUGCGUCUCCAGCCUGGCUUGUCUUGGGCCCUGCCUGCGCCAGCCUGUCAUUUGCCAGGAACUGGAGACGGGGAGCUUCUGUAAUGAGAAGAUAGUUGUCAAGCUCUGUUUCUCUCCAACACCCGAAGCUCCCGACAAGGAUUAUAAUCGAAGCCUGAUUUGCAAGGACAUGAACCCAUUCUCUGGCGGCUGUGAGAUGCUGCUUCUCGGGGUCUCUGGGUCCAGCGUGUGUGGGGUGGGGGGCUCAGAGGAGGAUUCAGGUGCAAGAGAAGCAGCCCCAAAUGAUCUGGGCUUCCACAGCAGGGCCGGUGCCUGUGGGCCUGGGGUCAGGCUAUAGGAGUUCAGAACCCAGCAGUUAGUCACUCUCUCCAUGCCUCAGUUUCCCCAACUCUGCAAUGGGUGUAAUAACAAUACUUACUACUUCAUAGACCUUUUAAGAAGCAACUACAAUAUGUAGAAACUCCCAGAGCAGAGGCUGGCACGGAGGGAACUCACCCUGAAGUGUUAGCUGACUGUAAGAGCAGCCUAAUGUCAGUUCUAAUAACAGAGUAGGCACCAGGCAUGUGUGGGGCCCUUGCUUGGCCUCUGGCCACUCAGUGCAGAGCAGGUGAAGGGCUCUGGGCUGGAGUUUUGUCACUGCCCAUAAAAAACACAGCUACCCAUUGGUUGCUUCCUAAAGGAUAGACAGUGAGAGGGGUCCAGGGUUACCCCAGUCACCCCAACCAUUUGGCACAACCUGCUCUGGUGCCCCAGGUGCCCCCGUAAUUGAUCUAAUUGGCCUGGACCAUGAGAGGCCAGGGAGCUGGGCUGUGACCUGCGUUUCGCAGCCAAGGGUGGACUGAUGGAUGUGUCUAGCAGGCCCAGCCCCUCAGCAGCUCUCCUUAGUGGUAUUUUCUGACCCAUCUGGGAGCAAGGACUGGCUGGAGCCCUGGGCCUCACAACAAGGUUGUUGCCCCUUCCUUGGACUCACAGGGCAAGCAGCGGUGUUGGGAUGUGUCCCUUGAUGGUGGCCCAACUUGAGGGGUCCCUGGGCUCCCAGGAGAUAGCCAGCCUGGGGGAAUCUCCUCCUGACAGGAGUCUCACUGGACGGACACCUGCACUUCUAGUGGUGGAAUGAGGAUGAGGGAUGUGCACUUCCUGGCCAGAUCGAGGCCCAGGCUCACUGGCCGGUGGUCUUCUGCCACCCUCUGCAGUUCUCCCAGGCAGACCCCAGCACAGAGAUGCAGGUGAGGCUGGAACUAGAGGGAAAGUUGUAGCCUCAGUGCAUAUGUGAGAAUAUAGGGAAAUCUAAUCCCUGAUAAGUUGAGCAUUUGUCGUGCAUUAGGAAAGGAGAAGUAAAACUACAGGUGACCCUUGAGUAACAUGGGUUUGAACUGCAUGGGUCACUUAUACAAGGGUUUUUUUUUUUUUUCUUCAAUAAAUUCUGUACAGUACUUUAAAUGCACUUCUUCUUCCUUAUGAUAUCUUAGUAACAUUUCUUCUCUAGCUUACUUUACUGUAAGAAUACAGUAUGUAAUACGUGUAACAUACAACAUAUGCGGUAAUCAACUGUUUAUGUUAUCAGUAAAGCUUCUGGUCAAUUGUAAGGUAUGAGUAGUUAAGUUUCUGAGGCGUCAGAAGUUACACAUGGAUUUCCAACUGUGUGGGGAAUUGGUGCCCCUACCCCCGUGUCGUUCCAGGUCAACUGUGUUCUAUGACACCCAUACGUAGUGAACCCAGUGCCUGAAAUGGAAAGACUGACAGUACUAAGUAUCAGCACGGGUGUGUAGCUGCCGAGAUUCUGCGGGCCUGCAAGUGGAUGUUGGUAAGUGCAUGGGAUCUUUUUUAUUUCUGGAUCUGAGUACAAAGUACACACGUGUUUUCACUUUAUAAAGCUUUUGUGUAUGUAAGCCACA
Herpailurus yagouaroundi (jaguarundi) is the source of this 5560-nucleotide long non-coding RNA. RefSeq lists it as uncharacterized. The record is from RefSeq and is a predicted model, not a curated record. The transcript is spliced from 4 exons. Lineage: Eukaryota; Metazoa; Chordata; Mammalia; Carnivora; Felidae.